GGGGAAUUUUGGACAAUGGGGGCAACCCUGAUCCAGCCAUGCCGCGUGUGCGAAGAAGGCCUUCGGGUUGUAAAGCACUUUUGGCGGGAAAGAAACGGCGCCGGUUAAUACCUGGGGUAACUGACGGUACCCGCAGAAUAAGCACCGGCUAACUACGUGCCAGCAGCCGCGGUAAUACGUAGGGUGCAAGCGUUAAUCGGAAUUACUGGGCGUAAAGCGUGCGCAGGCGGUUCGGAAAGAAAGAUGUGAAAUCCCAGGGCUCAACCUUGGAACUGCAUUUUUAACUCCCGAACUAGAGUGUGUCAGAGGGAGGUGGAAUUCCACGUGUAGCAGUGAAAUGCGUAGAUAUGUGGAGGAACACCGAUGGCGAAGGCAGCCUCCUGGGAUAACACUGACGCUCAUGCACGAAAGCGUGGGGAGCAAACAGGAUUAGAUACCCUGGUAGUCCACGCCCUAAACGAUGUCAACUAGCUGUUGGGUUCUU
This 484-nucleotide ribosomal RNA is filed under the name uncultured bacterium. RNAcentral's name for it is "bacterial SSU rRNA". It matches the Rfam family "Bacterial small subunit ribosomal RNA", at positions 356 to 832 of the family's 1533-position model. The record is from RNAcentral.